AAGGUUGAGCCUGCCCAAUGGUUUCAUAAAGUGAAAUUAAAUGGUUGCAGCUAAAUGCUGUACUAAGGUAGCGUAAUAAGUUGCCUCUUAAUUGGGGGCUAGUAUGAAGGGUUUGACGUAAAAAAAUUUGUCUCCAAGGUAAAAAUAUGAAGUUUUCUUUUUAGUGAAAAGUCUGAAAUAAUUAUAAAAGACGAGAAGACCCUGUCGAGCUUGAUAAACUGUAUAGUUUAAGAGUAUAUAAAUAAGUUUAGCUGGGGCAGCUUGGAACAAAACAAAAGUUUCGAUUGUAUAUGAAGAUCCGGUUUAAUAUCGAAUAAAGAAAAAGCUACCGCAGGGAUAACAGCGUAAUUCUUUCUGAGAGGACUAAUUGAAGAAAGAGAUUGCGACCUCGAUGUUGGAUUAAGAUUACUUUCUGGCGCAGCCGUUAGGAUAGUAAGACUGUUCGUCUUUUGAAAUCUUACGUGAUCUGAGUUCAGACCGGA
Molecule: ribosomal RNA, 482 nt
Filed under: Solen grandis (grand razor shell)
Lineage: Eukaryota; Metazoa; Mollusca; Bivalvia; Adapedonta; Solenidae
Description: partial 16S ribosomal RNA
Rfam family: Archaeal large subunit ribosomal RNA
Source: RNAcentral